Molecule: unclassified non-coding RNA, 364 nt
Filed under: fungal sp.
Lineage: Eukaryota; Fungi
Description: partial internal transcribed spacer region
Rfam family: Eukaryotic small subunit ribosomal RNA (bases 1-46)
Source: RNAcentral
AAGUCGUAACAAGGUAUCCGUAGGUGAACCUGCGGAUGGAUCAUUAAAACACGUGUUUACACACGUUACCAACCAACCCGUGCGAGGAGCCUGGCUGACAUAAAAAGUCUCAACCGCAAGGUCGAGCUUCAUCGUGUACAGCUUGCUGGUAAAACAGCAAGUCGUCGGCUAGUGCUCCGUUCUUUUCUUCGUUGCACACGAUGUUUUCUUUACAAACCUUAAAACCCUUUCAUUCUUCUUACUGAAUGACUUAAAUCCUUUUCUUUCGAAAAGGACUUCUCUAUUAGAUCUUCGGAUCGAACGGAAGUCUCUGACUAGAUACGAAAACCCUGUACAACUCUUAGCAACGGAUAUCUUGGUUCUC